CACGUAGGCGGACUGGAAAGUUGGAGGUGAAAUCCCAGGGCUCAACCUUGGAACUGCCCUCAAAACUAUCAGUCUGGAGUUCGAGAGAGGUGAGUGGAAUUCCGAGUGUAGAGGUGAAAUUCGUAGAUAUUCGGAGGAACACCAGUGGCGAAGGCGGCUCACUGGCUCGAUACUGACGCUGAGGUGCGAAAGUGUGGGGAGCAACA
RNAcentral lists this ribosomal RNA (206 nucleotides) under uncultured bacterium. Its description in RNAcentral is "partial 16S ribosomal RNA". It matches the Rfam family "Bacterial small subunit ribosomal RNA", at positions 568 to 773 of the family's 1533-position model. The record is from RNAcentral.